This 422-nucleotide ribosomal RNA is filed under the name uncultured eukaryote. Its description in RNAcentral is "bacterial SSU rRNA". It matches the Rfam family "Eukaryotic small subunit ribosomal RNA", at positions 158 to 578 of the family's 1831-position model. The record is from RNAcentral.
CUAGAGCUAAUACAUGCAAAAGAGAAUUCUUUGAAAAAGGAAUGCAUAUAUUAGAUACAAAUCCAAAAUACAAAGGUGAAUCAUAAUAUUUAUAGCAAAUUAUACAGAGGAAGUAAUUCUUCUUGAUAAUAAACCGAUCAAAUUUCUGCCCUAUCAUACUUUGGACGGUAAUGUAGUGGAUUACGGUGGUGAUGACGGGUAACGGAGAAUUAGGGUUUGAUUCCGGAGAGGGAGCAUGAGAAAUGGCUACCACUUCCAAGGAAGGCAGCAGGCGCGUAAAUUACCCAAUCCUAAAACAGGGAGGUAGUGACGAUAAAUAACAAUGAUUCAAUGAUAACAAAGUUGAAUUAAUUGGAAUGAGAACAAUAUAAAUCCCUUAUCGAGUAACAAUUUCAGGGCAAGUUCUGGUGCCAGCAGCCGCG